UUGGAGGGCAAGUCUGGUGCCAGCAGCCGCGGUAAUUCCAGCUCCAAUAGCGUAUAUUAAAGUUGUUGCAGUUAAAAAGCUCGUAGUUGAAUUUCGGGGUUAGUAGGUUGGUCGUGCCUCAGGUAUGUACUGAUCUCACUGAUUCCUCCUUCCUGAUGAACCGUAAUGCCAUUAAUUUGGUGUUGCGGGGAAACUGGACUGUUACUUUGAAAAAAUUAGAGUGUUUAAAGCAGGCUAACGCUUGAAUACAUUAGCAUGGAAUAAUGAAAUAGGACGUUCGAUCCUAUUUUGUUGGUUUCUAGGAUUGACGUAAUGAUUAAUAGGGAUAGUUGGGGGCAUUAGUAUUCAAUUGUCGGAGGUGAAAUUCUUGGAUUUAUUGAAGACUAACUACUGCGAAAGCAUUUGCCAAGGAUGUUUUCAUUAAUCAAGAACGAAAGUUAGGGGAUCGAAGACGAUCAGAUACCGUCGUAGUCUUAACCAUAAACUAUGCCGACUAGGGAUCGGAUGAUGUUAAUUUUUUAAUGACUCAUUCGGCGCCUUACGGGAAA
RNAcentral lists this ribosomal RNA (548 nucleotides) under uncultured Glomeromycotina. RNAcentral describes it as "SSU rRNA". It matches the Rfam family "Eukaryotic small subunit ribosomal RNA", at positions 548 to 1097 of the family's 1831-position model. The record is from RNAcentral. Lineage: Eukaryota; Fungi; Glomeromycota.